GAACGCUAGCGGCAGGCUUAACACAUGCAAGUCGAGGGGUAUGCUUCUUCGGAAGCAGAGACCGGCGCACGGGUGCGUAACGCGUAUGCAAUCUACCUUUUACAGAGGGAUAGCCCAGAGAAAUUUGGAUUAAUACCUCAUAGCAUUGCAGGAUGGCAUCAUCCAGCAAUUAAAGUCACAACGGUAAAAGAUGAGCAUGCGUCCCAUUAGCUAGUUGGUAAGGUAACGGCUUACCAAGGCUACGAUGGGUAGGGGUCCUGAGAGGGAGAUCCCCCACACUGGUACUGAGACGCGGACCAGACUCCUACGGGAGGCAGCAGUGAGGAAUAUUGGACAAUGGGCGCAAGCCUGAUCCAGCCAUACCGCGUGCAGGAUGACGGUCCUAUGGAUUGUAAACUGCUUUUAUACGAGAAGAAACACUACUUCGUGAAGUAGCUUGACGGUAUCGUAAGAAUAAGGAUCGGCUAACUCCGUGCCAGCAGCCGCGGUAAUACGGAGGAUCCAAGCGUUAUCCGGAAUCAUUGGGUUUAAAGGGUCCGUAGGCGGUUUAAUAAGUCAGUGGUGAAAGCCCAUCGCUCAACGGUGGAACGGCCAUUGAUACUGUUAAACUUGAAUUAUUAGGAAGUAACUAGAAUAUGUAGUGUAGCGGUGAAAUGCUUAGAGAUUACACGGAAUACCAAUUGCGAAGGCAGGUUACUACUAAUGGAUUGACGCUGAUGGACGAAAGCGUGGG
Molecule: ribosomal RNA, 733 nt
Filed under: uncultured soil bacterium
Lineage: Bacteria
Description: bacterial SSU rRNA
Rfam family: Bacterial small subunit ribosomal RNA
Source: RNAcentral